GGCUGGGUAGCUCAGUUGGUUAGAGCGUGGCACUCAUAACGCCAAGGUCGAGAGUUCGAAUCUCUCCUCAGCCACAA
RNAcentral lists this transfer RNA (77 nucleotides) under Candidatus Falkowbacteria bacterium CG10_big_fil_rev_8_21_14_0_10_37_14. RNAcentral describes it as "tRNA-Met". It matches the Rfam family "tRNA". From Rfam's summary of the family: Transfer RNA (tRNA) molecules are approximately 80 nucleotides in length. The record is from RNAcentral. Lineage: Bacteria; Candidatus Falkowiibacteriota.